GUGCCAGCAGCCGCGGUAAGACGAACCGUGCGAACGUUGUUCGGAAUCACUGGGCUUAAAGGGCGCGUAGGCGGGCUCGCAAGUCAGGGGUGAAAUCCCACGGCUCAACCGUGGAAGUGCCUUUGAUACUGCGGGCCUUGAGGGAGGUAGGGGCGUGCGGAACUUCCGGUGGAGCGGUGAAAUGCGUAGAUAUCGGAAGGAACACCGGUGGCGAAAGCGGCGCGCUGGACCUCUUCUGACGCUGAGGCGCGAAAGCCAGGGGAGCAAACGGGAUUAGAAACCCGGGUAGUCC
This 292-nucleotide ribosomal RNA is filed under the name uncultured bacterium. RNAcentral describes it as "partial 16S ribosomal RNA". It matches the Rfam family "Bacterial small subunit ribosomal RNA", at positions 505 to 796 of the family's 1533-position model. The record is from RNAcentral.